GGUAGUUGGUAGCUCAGAGGUAGAGUGCAUGCUUUGUGUUUAUGAUGUCCUGUGUUCAACUCCGAGCUUCUCCCC
Molecule: non-coding RNA, 75 nt
Organism: Dallia pectoralis (Alaska blackfish)
Lineage: Eukaryota; Metazoa; Chordata; Actinopteri; Esociformes; Umbridae
Source: the annotation of a GenBank genome assembly